Molecule: unclassified non-coding RNA, 211 nt
Filed under: plant metagenome
Description: partial contains small subunit ribosomal RNA, internal transcribed spacer 1, and 5.8S ribosomal RNA
Source: RNAcentral
UUUCCGUAGGUGAACCUGCGGAAGGAUCAUUCAUAAUAAAGUGUUUUAUGGCACUUUUUAAAAAUCCAUAUCCACUUUGUGUGCAAUGUUAGAUCUCGUCAAUCUUGGCGAGAUUUUUAUACAUCAACUCAUUCUUUAACUAAUUUGUCUGAAAAAUAUUAUGAAUACUUAAUUCAGAAUACAACUUUCAACAACGGAUCUCUUGGCUCUC